This 1630-nucleotide long non-coding RNA is filed under the name Lucilia cuprina (Australian sheep blowfly). RNAcentral's name for it is "uncharacterized LOC124420529". The record is from RNAcentral. Lineage: Eukaryota; Metazoa; Arthropoda; Insecta; Diptera; Calliphoridae.
UUCACAUGUCAGGCUUGUUCGCCACAUGUCAGGCUUGUUCGUUUUGAGAAGAUUUCUCGUCUUUCUAUCAUCAGAGUUACUCCAGAGGAUCUUUGUGGUUCUGACCACCGUUUCAAUAUUUCAGGAGGCCUUAUAGGAUUCCCUCACCAUAGUUUUAAUUCAGCUUUAUGUUAGCAUCAUCAGGUUAACUACCUCAAGGUCCCUUUUCGUUUCCGACUACUCCAGAGUGCCCUGGUACCCAUAGGAUUUAAGUCGAAGUGCUUAAUGUGAGUACCUGGCGUGUAGCCCUAUCUCACGGUGGUCUUUUACACACACUAAGUGAGUAAAACUAAGCAACAACUCACUAUUGCCCGUUUGUGUAUCUUAAGUACUCGAGCUAUCUAAUCUUUUGCCAUAGUAGUUCUGUUGUGGAAGGACAGGUAUCAUGAGCAAGUUCAAUCUAACCCCGACAAUAAUGUCGCCUAACCACACGACUGAGAUGGCUCUGUUGAUUCGGCAACAGCACCUAGAAGGACGUAAUUGGUUGUCUGAAACAUGGAUCAUCACCAUCUUUUUCAUUAUCAGCUCAAAUCCAACAUUUUAUUAAACCCAGAGUCAUCGUCUGAAAUUUGUACUGCUACUAGCAUCUAGGAACGAUAACUGAAAUGUAUCAUGAACAUUAUAUUUCUCUGUGUAUCAGCAGUACCCUCCUCUUCCCGAAUUUGGGAACCUCAACUAACUGACCAGCCAAUACAUAUUCUUGAGGGCAACUGGCCACCCGUAGUACCUGAUUAUGUGGUAGGCUGGUUAGACCGUUUGUUUGAAAAGGGAAAAUAUAGUAAAUGUACCACUAAAUCGUGAAGGAAAAGUCAGCAGACAAUCGGAACCAUCCUUAUGCACAUGAUUUGAAAACAUGACCUGAAUAUUUUCCAUAUUUGUUAUCUUCUUGCUGCUGUUGGUUGGUGGUUGUCAUCAGAAAAACUGAUAUUUGUAACAAAUUAUAUACAAAUGCAGAGGGACUAGAAUUUAUUAUAUGAAUAUGCAAUCUGUAGUAACGGACUAAAAGUUUUGAUUUUAGCGUUAAAAACAUUGUGAACCCGAAAUGCAGCAAAGUUAAAACUGCGACGAAAACAAAUAGUAAACUACAAGAGCUGGUGGUGGUGUUCUAUAAAGUACCAGAUGUAGAAAAAGUUUCACGAUAUUAAACAUUUUUGGAAAUGUUACUUGCAUUGCAUUGUCACAGAGCAUACAACAACUUGUGUAUAAUUUGUGCUUUGGAACAUUGUGGACUUAUAUGGAUGACGAUUCUUCCUCCUUCUCAUUGUAGUGCACUCAUUUUCCCAGUCUAGAUCCUUUUAUUUAUUCUCUUUUUAAUAUAACAAAAUAUUUUAAAUGAAGAGAGUUCAUGUUGCAACACAAAAUAGUUUUUAUUUUUUAUUCUUGUCGCCCGAACCAGCAAAGUAAAUGAUGCGCUUUACUAAGUGCAACCAUGCAACACAUGAAAUGUAAUAAAAUACAAAAAAAAAACGAGUAAUCAAAUUACCAGGCAACAUUUUGACCCGAAUCGACUAAAAGCAAAAAUAUGCUGGAAGGAGUCAACAGUAGUCCGCUGGUAUUUCAAUUUAUUUGUACAACAGGAGUUGUUUACAUU